UCCCUGAUAGUCUAGUGGUUAGGAUUCAGCUCUUUUACUGCUGCAGCCUGGGUUCAAUUCCUGGUUUGGGAA
This 72-nucleotide transfer RNA is filed under the name Sus scrofa (pig). It matches the Rfam family "tRNA". Rfam says of the family: Transfer RNA (tRNA) molecules are approximately 80 nucleotides in length. Their secondary structure includes four short double-helical elements and three loops (D, anti-codon, and T loops). Further hydrogen bonds mediate the characteristic L-shaped molecular structure. tRNAs have two regions of fundamental functional importance: the anti-codon, which is responsible for specific mRNA codon recognition, and the 3' end, to which the tRNAs corresponding amino acid is attached (by aminoacyl-tRNA synthetases). tRNAs cope with the degeneracy of the genetic code in two manners: having more than one tRNA (with a specific anti-codon) for a particular amino acid; and 'wobble' base-pairing, i.e. permitting non-standard base-pairing at the 3rd anti-codon position. The record is from Rfam by way of RNAcentral. Lineage: Eukaryota; Metazoa; Chordata; Mammalia; Artiodactyla; Suidae.